Molecule: long non-coding RNA, 1484 nt
Organism: Mesocricetus auratus (golden hamster)
Lineage: Eukaryota; Metazoa; Chordata; Mammalia; Rodentia; Cricetidae
Exons: 4
Source: RefSeq, a predicted model, not a curated record
ACUGCGACAGCAAGCUAGGAGACAAUAUUGUACUUCCGCAUGUGAGCUUCUCCUUCCCAGCUGGGCACAGGUCUUGACAUGUUCCUGGUUAAUUCACACCCUGGAGGCCAGACUGCAAAUGGAACCUGCUUGCCGGACUGUCUCUUUGCUGAAGAUGACAGUAUGAGAGCCACCGGAUGAGCAAGAGCCUGAAGUGGGGUGAACACUAAGUGUAGACCGGGGCUGGUGGAACAGGACAGGCUGGAGAGAAAGACUAGAGCGGGGUUCUCUUGUCCGUUGCUCACAGGACCGCGAGCCCGAGCAUGCGCACGUGGCUGGUGGGGUUCCCACAUCAUUUAUCCUGUUCCCAAGCAGGCACGGAACACCUCAGGGAUUAGUCCACUACCACACCCCCAUUCCUCUCAGACAUUCGCCUUCGUGUUUUGGCUCCCUCUCCUUUCUGACGAGAGCAUCUCAGGUUCCUGGCGAUAUAAGCGUGUGUGGAGACACAGGGCCAGGAAUUAGAGACCGCAGCCUGGUCUCUAAUGGGCACAGGUAGGGACCUGCUCUCCAAUGGUCUACUUUCUUCAGCUAGAACAAACUUUACAAAGUUCCACAGCCUCCCAAAGCAGCACCAUGCAACCGUGAGCUUGUGGAACAUUUCAGAUUCUUCGAUGUUUUCAUCGUCUGGACCAAAUUCCCGACCAGCUGGAACGUCAGGAGUGAAGCAUAGGAACCCAGGCCAGACUGACUUCAGCUGCGGCGCCCUCAGAUCAGCCAGGUUGGGAAGGACUCAGCGCAGUCUGCCAGACUCAUAACCAAACUUCAAUAGUUGGUAAAGCCAGUCAAGGACCAAGCCUUGUCUUAUACAACCGAGAUUUCCAUCUUCUCGUUUAAACGCAUCAGAUGUGCUGGUGCACACUUGCAAUCUCAGCACCUGGGAAGCAGAGGCAAGAAGAUCAUACCUGGAAGUCAGCCGGAGCUUCAUGUAGCCAGACCCUGUCUCAAAACAAGAAAACACCAGAAGCUACAAUAUCAACGUUUGGCGUGAAUUAACUGUAUGCAACAUUGAGUGCACAUGAGAGUGACGGAGUCUUUGGUAGCUUGGGUGAGAACGCAUCUCGCAAUCAGCAUGAGAAACCCAGAAGCCAGGAACUGGGGUCCUGAGAAUGGUGUCAGCAUCAAGGGAACAUGGGAAGGACAGAAUGCUGCUGACAUGACUUCUCCCAGGCCAAUGGCCAGCCAUCCUGCCGGUGUGAACAACAGACUCGCACCCCUGCGGAAUACAGCACUAGGGAGGCAGAGACAGGUUGGAGGCCAUCCUGGUCUACAGAGCAAGUUCCAGGACAGCCUCCAAAAUAAUACAGAGGAACCCUGUCUUAAAAAAAAAAAUUGUCUGUCAUUAAUUUCAAUCAAUUGGAUUAAGGUAAGAGAAUGUGAAUGAUAUAGUUAAAUGGAUUUAAUCCUUGUCAAAUACCAAAAUCAUUUUUCAAUAAAAAAGAAAA